GCAGUCGCAGUCGUUUCAGGCGAGGCGGGUUUGUGCGGGAAGCAGCCACGCAUCUUUUACGAUUGUGCAGCCCUUUCAAACCCCAUACAGGCAAGACGAUUCGGUUUGAAUUACCCCCUCGCGUUUGUGUGCGGACUUGUGAAGGCAGGUAGGCUCCGUCGUAGCCGCGAUAUAAACUGUUUUCAGGAAGGCUGCAAGGCCUCGCGGGAGAAUGGCCAUGAAUUACGGUAGGCCUCCGCCAGACGUCGACGGCAUGACUUCCCUCAAAGUGGACAACUUAACGUACCGAACCUCGCCCGAGACCCUGAGACGCGUGUUCGAGAAGUACGGCCGGGUCGGGGACGUGUACAUCCCCCGGGACCGCUACACGAAGGAGAGCCGCGGAUUCGCGUUUGUGCGCUUCCACGACAAAAGGGACGCCGAGGACGCGAUGGACGCCAUGGACGGCGCGCUCCUCGAUGGGCGGGAGCUGCGGGUCCAGAUGGCCCGGUACGGAAGACCCCCGGAUUCCCACCACGGGAGCGGCGGCGGCGGCGGUGGUGGAGGGCGGCGAGGAGGGCCAACAAGGAGGCAUGGCGGCCAUGGACGCCGAAGCAGAAGCUCUUCCCCCAGUCCGAGACACAGAAGACGCAGCCGAUCCCGCAGCAGGAGCCGCUCUCGUUCCCGAAGCCGGUCCCGCUACAGCAGAUCCAGGUCCCGGUCCUACUCCCGAUCAAAGUCUCAUUCUCCCAGGAACAAGAAGGCCGCUGCCAAGUCCCCAUCUCGUUCCAGAUCUAGAUCCAGGGGCCAGUCCAAAUCCAAGUCAAAGUCUAAAUCCAAAUCCAAGUCCAAGUCCAGAUCCAGAAGCCGCACCCCUUCCUCCAAAAGAGGGUCCCGGUCGAUGUCUAAAAGCCCACCGAAGACGGCGGCAGAAAAUGGAGGCGAAACCCCGUAGAGCUCAGCAUGUCAGCAGGAGCUGCGGCAUCCUGUUUGCUAAAGUGGAGUUUGAGCAGAGCUGAGGCAGUAUGAGCAGUUAGAAGGUGUGUGGUGAGCUGCCCACGGGCCGCCUGCUGCUGGUGAGGGUUUCUGUGCGGCAGGGUGGAGGCAGUCAGAGUUGGGGUUUGGUGUUGAGGUACGUCUGUCUGUCCGCCCACUGGACAUAAAGCUGUCCUCCAGGACGGGGGGCGCUGAGGUUUGUCCAACUCUACUCCCAUGUCAGUCCCACUUUGUUUGUUCCUAUUUUUGUACCACAUUUUCAAUACGUCUCCAAUUAAAACAUUUUUUUUUUUUUAAGAAUUUAGUGAAGGCCGUCAUCAGAUAGGCCUUAAGAGUAAAUUAAUGCUGUUAGUCGGUGUGUAACAUGUCGAUAGGAGUUCCUGGAAAGGCGCCAGCCUCGUGAAGCAAUUCAGUAGUUUUACUGAUUGUGGUCUGGCACACAUCAAUUAUUUACCAAAGCUCAAGUCGUUUUAAAUUCCCCGCCUUUGUCAUCUUUUGAAUUAUCUAAAUUGCUUCCUGAUCAAUGAUUAUUGCAGCUACAGGGCUCAGUUAUUCAGUGUCCUGAUUUAAAUCUUGUAGUGAAACAUGGGCUUGUGAGUCGGGCUGCACUCUUAUCUUUAUCAAUUUAAUCUGCUGAUUUAUGUUUGUUUAAUCGUUUGGUCUCUCAGAAAAUACUGAAAAUGCCCAUCACAAGUGUCCAUAGCCCAAGAUGUCUUUGAUUUGUCCCCAAAUCACAGUUAUUUACUUUACAACCUGAAAAAGAUUUGAAAAGCUGAGAAACUCUGUGACCUACACUGAACAUUUACUCCUCGCUCGCUUUCAGCGUCACUUCCUGCCGCUCGCUCUGUCAUUCGCUUGCUGACUCCGCUGCUCUGAUAACGGCACCCGUCACGUAGAUGUCCUGAUGAAAGAGGAGAGGAAGCUAGCAAAGCGCAAUUUAACAUAUUUACAGUACAAACCUUGUCAGUGAAAUAUGUAGCGUUCAAUAAUCGUAAUCCAGAUGAAAUGUUCAAUUAAUCGUGAUUUAGAUUUUUGGUGAAAUCGUCCGGCCCUAGCGGCUAUUAAGUUUUAUGGAAUAAAUGUUAAAACUUCUCUGCAGUGGAGGACCUUUUGUUGCACAUGCACCCCCACUAUAAUUUUCUGCCUUCUAAUGAAGGCACAAAAUGCACAAAUAAUACCGAUUGAAAGCGAAUAAAAUGCAUGGCUUAAAAAAACAAGUGGUGUCCGGUGUGAUUACAGCCAGAAGUUGAAAUUAGGAUAUGAGUUAAUUCUAAUAAUCAAUUUCUUUGGAUCUAAAUGUUACAUUAAAAUCAGUUUUAAUUGAAGCCAGCUGAGUGGUAUCAGUCCGAGGCGACAUAAUGUGUUCUGGGGGGGAUUUGCAAAGCCCGUUUACCAAGUAAUGAAAAGAUCCUAACUGUUCCUCUUUUGACAGUUUCCAGGUGAAGACUUCAGAACAUCAUGUUCCAGACUGGAUCCCACGCGAGCAACAGUGUCCUGCUGUCAAAGGCGCAGUUGUGUAGCAGUUGAGUAUUGCUGGUUAGCUGUUAAGGUGGCGCGUUGCUCUGCUGAGUGCUUGGAUGUGUCCAGUAUUCUCCAGAUUGCUCCUGUGACUACCAGUGGUACGCUUGCUACAGUCUCACCCUUUGUACAAUGCCCCCCACCCCCCACCCUUCAUUAAAGAUUUUGAUGUUUUGUCUAUAAAUGUCUCUUCUUUUUAUUGCUCAGUUUAGUUUUUUUGUUUGUGUGUAUUUACAUUCAUACAGCAAGGGCGUCACUUUGUGUUGAAAGGUGGUGGGGACGCAUUAGCGGUGUGCAGAUUACACUUUUCGCUCACGAUGCUCAAUAUUCAGGUCACGAGAACAAGACCAGAUAUUUCAAUACCAUUUCAGAAUAAAUAAUGCAGAAAUGUAUGAGUGGGUGGUCUGAGGGUCCUUCCCCGGUAGAUGUUGAGCAUUAAACACGUUAUUUUCUGCAUUCUGGUGAAAUUUUCUGCACCAAUUUCUGGUGGAAUGUCUAUUUAUGUAAAAGGAAACACAAAAGUCAGGUGACUUUUCAAAAUAUUAGAAGAUAAUGAAAUAUAAUGCAGUAAUUGUUUUUGGUUAGCUUUUGUAACUUUAUUUGUACAAUGCACAUUUGUUUUAUAUUUAAAUUGUACUGCAUGUUUUCUUAGUGUGCAAAUAAACCUUUUAUCAAAGCA
RNA transcript from Micropterus salmoides (largemouth bass), 3172 nucleotides. It is a transcript of the gene named serine and arginine rich splicing factor 2b, with no coding region annotated. The transcript has 4 exons. Lineage: Eukaryota; Metazoa; Chordata; Actinopteri; Centrarchiformes; Centrarchidae. The record is from RefSeq and is a predicted model, not a curated record.